UGGCUCAAACCAUUUACUUUAUGGCUUGAUAUGGCAGAGAAAGGCCGUGGAUAACUCGUAAAAAUCUCGAAGAUUUUCUACAACAUUGACAACGAAGUGAUGGGAAUAUAUUGUUGAUAGUAAACGAGAUGGCUUGUGAGAUUGAAGAAAUUCGGUGGAUAACUCGUUAAAAUCAUGAAGAUUUCUCCUGCAAAAGCUGGGGUAUUGACAAGGAAGUGAUGGAAAUGUACUUUGUUGUAAUUAGCGGGAUGGCUUGUGAGAAUAGAGAAAUUCAGCGAAUGACUAGCGAAAAUCAGAGAGAUUUCGACAACAAAAGCGAGGGUAUUAAUUAACAAAUGAGUAUUGUUAGCUUGGCCGACUGAUUUUGCUAAAGUAUUGAACGAAAUAUGGUGAAGAGCUCUAUUUAGCUACUGACAAUUUUAGCAGUAACUGUUCUGGCUAGAGAAAUAUCAGACUCAAAUUUAGUUUCCUUUUUCAGGCACAAUUCUAGAAUAUCCUGCAACCUAAACUGCCUUGUUGGUGGAACAAGUAUGUAGCACGUUAUCUUAUAACUGCUCCCGAGUAUUUAAAGAAUGUAGGGUGAUGACAGAAGACUAUUAUACCUGAAAUAUUUUCCUGAAAUAAUUUGCAAAAGGCUGUAUAGACAGGUACAGGUUUUAAUUGAUUUGGGUGCGACGUGAGAAAUGUUAUGAUAAACAAUUUGGUAAAGGGAAAGUAGAAAACAUGCCAACAAUGAACUAAUGUGGAGAAGUUAAAUUACAUACUGACACAAUAAAGAGUAGUUUGAACUAUCCGUAUGUAUUUUUAACUUAAUUGAAUUUAUUUACAUUAUGGCUGUUUAAUAAUUACAGCAUUCAAAAUUUUUCAAUAAUUUUUGAAUUUUUAAUUAUCAUCUUUAUAUCUGUAUUAAACAGAAUUUUAGUUUGUUAAUAAUGUUUUACAUGAUGUAUUGUAUUAAGAUUACCAAAAAAUGAAAGGCCAAAAAGUGUAUGAUUACACUAAAUUACUCAUUCUAGUAUAAUAUAUCAGUAUCAAUAUUCUAUU
This is a long non-coding RNA of Xenia sp. Carnegie-2017, 1044 nucleotides long. RefSeq lists it as uncharacterized. Lineage: Eukaryota; Metazoa; Cnidaria; Anthozoa; Malacalcyonacea; Xeniidae. The record is from RefSeq and is a predicted model, not a curated record. The transcript is spliced from 3 exons.